GUGGGGAAUAUUGGACAAUGGGGGGAACCCUAAUCCAGCCAUGCCGCGUGUGUGAAGAAGGCCUUUUGGUUGUAAAGCACUUUAAGCGAGGAGGAGGCUACCGAGAUUAAUACUCUUGGAUAGUGGACGUUACUCGCAGAAUAAGCACCGGCUAACUCUGUGCCAGCAGCCGCGGUAAUACAGAGGGUGCAAGCGUUAAUCGGAUUUACUGGGCGUAAAGCGCGCGUAGGUGGCCAAUUAAGUCAAAUGUGAAAUCCCCGAGCUUAACUUGGGAAUUGCAUUCGAUACUGGUUGGCUAGAGUAUGGGAGAGGAUGGUAGAAUUCCAGGUGUAGCGGUGAAAUGCGUAGAGAUCUGGAGGAAUACCGAUGGCGAAGGCAGCCAUCUGGCCUAAUACUGACACUGAGGUGCGAAAGCAUGGGGAGCAAACAGGAUUAGAAACCCGAGUAGUCC
This 451-nucleotide ribosomal RNA is filed under the name uncultured bacterium. RNAcentral's name for it is "bacterial SSU rRNA". It matches the Rfam family "Bacterial small subunit ribosomal RNA", at positions 354 to 796 of the family's 1533-position model. The record is from RNAcentral.